Non-coding RNA from Pelobates cultripes (western spadefoot toad), 534 nucleotides. NCBI's taxonomy places the organism in Eukaryota, Metazoa, Chordata, Amphibia, Anura, Pelobatidae. The record is from the annotation of a GenBank genome assembly.
GGGUAAUAAAUAUAUUCAACCAUGACAGGUGCAUUCUGUGCUGAGGUAUAUUGCCAUAGAUCGCUUAAAGAAUUUUAGAUUGAAUGAAGAUUUGACUGUGUCCCUGAGGUUAUUCCAUAAUUGUGGUGCUCCUAGGAAAAGGAGGAUCGAGCCACUUUAUUUUUGUAUUGCGGUAUGCUAAAUAUCGUGCUAGUACUGGAUCGGAGGUUAUAGGAGGUGGGAACAGCCGGGGAGAGCAUUCUACUCAGGUAGGGUGGGAAGGAUUUGGCUGAAGGAUCCUGUAAUAUAAAGUAGGGAUGAGUUUUUUAGCAUUGUUUCACAUGUACUUAAUAAAAAAAAAAAAAAAAAAGUCCUUUCCAAACUUGAUCAGAGGAAUAUAAUAUUUAAAAAUAUUUUGAGGUGACAGUUGUCCUUUAAGUCCAUGUUAGGUUUAGGUUUUGAUGCCAUAGUUUUCUCCACAUUCUAAUCUCUUCUGUUUUUUUUUUUUUUUUUUUUAAAAAGAAGAAAAUAGUGGCCCAUUUUCCCAACAUGUCU